Long non-coding RNA from Salvia splendens (bonfire salvia), 482 nucleotides. RefSeq lists it as uncharacterized. Lineage: Eukaryota; Viridiplantae; Streptophyta; Magnoliopsida; Lamiales; Lamiaceae. The record is from RefSeq and is a predicted model, not a curated record. The transcript is spliced from 3 exons.
CGUUAAUGGCGGAAUACAGAUUUUUCUAUCAGAUUAGAGGAAUCCGGAGACGAACUAUGGCGAUUCACCGAGCUGAUAAACCUUCUGAACAUGCAUUUGGUAUCUCAGCAGGAUUUUCCGCGAGUAAGUAACUUUUUGGAGCCUUGUGCACAGGAAGAAGACUAUAAAAAAUGGCAGACCAGAGACCCCUUUUUCCUGCCUAGCUAAUGGCCAUCCACUAAGCAUGAUUAAGUAGGUCGGAAAAUGACUUGAAGAGGAGUGUGGAUCCUUGAGGAGAUCCUUGGAAAGGGAUUUGACACGACUGACACAGUGCCACUUUUGCAUUUCUCACCAAAUUGCUAAUCAUCGCCCACUUUUAUCUCAAGGUAAUCUUAAACUAAGGAUCUAUCUGUCUUUUGCUGUAUUUGAUUAAUUAUGUUGUGUAUUAAAUUUAUUACUAGUAGUAUUAUCUAUGUAUUCACAUAGUACAUAUUUAGGUGACU